UCGGAUGUAGGCUGAAAUUCGCCUACAUGAAGCCGGAAUUGCUAGUAAUGGCAGGUCAGCAUACUGCCGUGAAUACGUUCCCGGGCCUUGUACACACCGCCCGUCACACCAUGAGAGUUGGGAAUACCCGAAGCCUGUGAGCUAACUUUUAGAGGCAGCAGUCGAAGGUAGAACCAAUGAUUGGGGUGAAGUCGUAACAAGGUAUC
RNAcentral lists this ribosomal RNA (206 nucleotides) under uncultured bacterium. RNAcentral describes it as "partial 16S ribosomal RNA". It matches the Rfam family "Bacterial small subunit ribosomal RNA", at positions 1293 to 1500 of the family's 1533-position model. The record is from RNAcentral.